This 435-nucleotide ribosomal RNA is filed under the name uncultured bacterium. RNAcentral describes it as "bacterial SSU rRNA". It matches the Rfam family "Bacterial small subunit ribosomal RNA", at positions 355 to 787 of the family's 1533-position model. The record is from RNAcentral.
UGGGGAAUCUUGCGCAAUGGCCGAAAGGCUGACGCAGCGACGCCGCGUGUGGGAGGAAGCUCUUCGGGGUGUAAACCACUGUUGCCCGGGACGAACGAUGAGCAUUGGCUCAUGUGACGGUACCGGGUGAGGAAGCACCGGCUAACUCUGUGCCAGCAGCCGCGGUAAUACAGAGGGUGCGAGCGUUGUCCGGAAUCACUGGGCGUAAAGGGCGCGUAGGCGGCUCGGUAAGCGUGCGGUGAAAGCCCGGGGUCUCAACCCCGGGUCGGCCGUGCGAACUGCAGAGCUGGAGCACUGUAGAGGCAGGUGGAAUUCCGGGUGUAGCGGUGGAAUGCGUAGAGAUCCGGAAGAACACCGGUGGCGAAGGCGGCCUGCUGGGCAGUAGCUGACGCUGAUGCGCGACAGCGUGGGGGGAGCAAACAGGAUUAGAUACCC